GGGUAUAGCUCAGUGGCAGAGUGUGUGCCUAGCAUGAUGCGUAAUGUCUUGGGUUCAAUCCCCAGUACCGCCA
Molecule: transfer RNA, 73 nt
Filed under: Camelus dromedarius (Arabian camel)
Lineage: Eukaryota; Metazoa; Chordata; Mammalia; Artiodactyla; Camelidae
Also listed under: 1 other name
Rfam family: tRNA
About the family: Transfer RNA (tRNA) molecules are approximately 80 nucleotides in length. Their secondary structure includes four short double-helical elements and three loops (D, anti-codon, and T loops).
Source: Rfam by way of RNAcentral